This 615-nucleotide ribosomal RNA is filed under the name uncultured bacterium. RNAcentral describes it as "bacterial SSU rRNA". It matches the Rfam family "Bacterial small subunit ribosomal RNA", at positions 92 to 703 of the family's 1533-position model. The record is from RNAcentral.
CGAGUGGCGGACGGGUGAGUAACGCGUAGGAACCUACCCAGUAGUGGGGGACAACCCGAGGAAACUCGGGCUAAUACCGCAUACCCUCUACGGAGGAAAGCAGGGGAUCUUCGGACCUUGCGCUAUUGGAUGGGCCUGCGUUGGAUUAGCUUGUUGGUAGGGUAAAGGCCUACCAAGGCGACGAUCCAUAGCUGGUCUGAGAGGACGAUCAGCCACACUGGGACUGAGACACGGCCCAGACUCCUACGGGAGGCAGCAGUGGGGAAUAUUGGACAAUGGGGGCAACCCUGAUCCAGCAAUGCCGCGUGUGUGAAGAAGGCCUGCGGGUUGUAAAGCACUUUCAGUAGAGAAGAAAAGCCUAGGGUUAAUACCCCUGAGUCUUGACGUAACCUACAGAAGAAGCACCGGCUAACUCCGUGCCAGCAGCCGCGGUAAUACGGAGGGUGCGAGCGUUAAUCGGAAUUACUGGGCGUAAAGCGCGCGUAGGCGGCUUUGUAAGUCGGAUGUGAAAGCCCAGGGCUUAACCUUGGAACUGCAUUCGAUACUGCAGAGCUAGAGUAUGGUAGAGGGAAGUGGAAUUUCCGGUGUAGCGGUGAAAUGCGUAGAUAUCGGAAG